Molecule: long non-coding RNA, 258 nt
Organism: Talpa occidentalis (Iberian mole)
Lineage: Eukaryota; Metazoa; Chordata; Mammalia; Eulipotyphla; Talpidae
Exons: 3
Source: RefSeq, a predicted model, not a curated record
CUUGACAAGUAGUGCUUGGAUCGUGAAUAUUCAUUAUUCAGUAAAGAAUGUUUUGGAAGCAAAAUUUCCAAAUUUAGUACAUGGGUUUGCCAAGGAACAAAUUAGAGUCUGCAAAACAGUGGAGCUCUGUAAAUAUGAGCAUUGGAAGUGGAGUCACAUUACUAAGUGUGUUGAGAUGAAAGCUUUCCACAGAGGAUUCUCCUCUUCCCACUUGGAGGCUUCGAGAGUAUAAGCAAUUUUUCUAAACAUCACACAAAA